CAGACAGUCAGAUGCUGGUGUCUGUGCCAUCCUCACGCUCGCGGGAGUUUUGGCAUGGGAUUCUUGGUUGUGAUUCCCCCGGACUCCACUGUCUGAAGACCAGGUUUCCUAUGAAGAGGGUCUGACGGGAACCUGUUCCCAGUGAUUUGAGGAUGAUGCUGGAGGGUCUUGAAAUCUUUAAAACCAGUAAAACCUGCAACUUGAAAACUAGCCUUCUGUAACCACGGUGCCCAAACGAAGAGGAAUGUAUGGAGAACUCCACGUGGAUCUCUGAUUGCGAAACCGUCACAUACACCAAGAGAGCCACAUGGGCAUGUGGCCCUCAAGGCUGGGUGAGAGGGCUCCCCUGUGUGUUGAACUAUGCAGGAGGUGACGCAGACACACUUCAGGUGGACUUUGCAAGGACUGAUGGAUAGCUACCUCAGGGGCCAGAAUCCGUGGGAAGGGGUGGACCUGGUGUUCCCGUUCCCAUCUGACAGGCUCUCUUUUGUCAAGGUGGUAUUUUUCGUAAUAAAAGGGGAAGAGUAAAGACUGUCCAAGCAGCAGUAGUUGCCAAAGAGAAAAUACGAAACAGACACUUUUUUUUUUUUUUUUUUUUUGAGUCAGAGUCUCACUCUGUCAUCCAGGACAGAGUGCAGUGGUGCGAUCUCAGCUCACUGCA
Molecule: small RNA, 661 nt
Filed under: Pongo abelii (Sumatran orangutan)
Lineage: Eukaryota; Metazoa; Chordata; Mammalia; Primates; Hominidae
Description: processed transcript
Source: RNAcentral